CGGCGCCCCCGGCGGCGCGGGCGUCAGGUAGAGGAGGCGGGGCCGAAGCGCGGGCACCCGAGUCCCGGAGGAUCGCCUUGGUUUCUGUAUUGGUCUCUGAAGAGAUAGGAGACAUCACCUCUGGGAAUCUCUGUGUCA
Molecule: long non-coding RNA, 138 nt
Filed under: Ictidomys tridecemlineatus (thirteen-lined ground squirrel)
Lineage: Eukaryota; Metazoa; Chordata; Mammalia; Rodentia; Sciuridae
Description: lncRNA (ENSSTOG00000032699.1)
Source: RNAcentral